RNAcentral lists this long non-coding RNA (253 nucleotides) under Lathyrus oleraceus (garden pea). Its description in RNAcentral is "Pisum sativum (pea) long non-coding RNA (PSAT_LNC037702)". Lineage: Eukaryota; Viridiplantae; Streptophyta; Magnoliopsida; Fabales; Fabaceae. The record is from RNAcentral.
AGCUCAAUAACCUCGGCCCCAAGCUGGGUCUCUGAUGCAAGUCUCUGGUCGACUUCCUUCUUCAUCUGGAUAUCUUUGGCUUUGAGUUGCUUCUCCAAGUCUCUGAUCUUCUUCAGAUAACCGGCUUCAGCUCUCUGCAAUCUCAAACUCUCUCGGUGCUCUGCAUCUAACAAAGUCUCCAUCUCUGAAUAAGACCUCUUUUUGCUCCUGACUCCCCCAACAUCUGCACUCUGGAUGUCUCUGAGUUGAUGAG